This is a long non-coding RNA of Orcinus orca (killer whale), 965 nucleotides long. RefSeq lists it as uncharacterized. Lineage: Eukaryota; Metazoa; Chordata; Mammalia; Artiodactyla; Delphinidae. The record is from RefSeq and is a predicted model, not a curated record. The transcript has 2 exons.
UAGGCCCCCUGGCGGGAUCGUGAGUUACAAAGUUGCACGCAGGAGUUGGGGUUGGAGGAGAAGAAGCAGCUGUGUACUCGAGGAUUGCGGGCUCCGCGGGACGCUGUUCACUGGGGCCAGGUUUUGCAGACCUGGCCAUGUGAAAAGCCCACGGAGGGGAUUCGGAAGCCCUGGAAUCUCCCCUUAAGUUAAAUCUGGGGUGGAGGUGAACAGGGAGGAUAAUAAAGAGAGGUCAAUACCAUCUGGAUAAAGCUGGGGAGAAAAGGUAGAAUGACUCCCCCAGCUCUCUCUGGUGACACUGGCUCCGGGAACCCUGCCACUGUGCUGUGAGGAGGCUAAGGCCACAUGCCGAGGGUCCAGGCAGGUGUUCUGGCUGCAGCCCCAGGUGAGGUUCCAGUUAACAGCCAGCAUCGACCAUCAGACAUGCAAGUGAAGAGUUUUCAGAAGGUCCCAGCAUCAAGCAGUCCUUCCAGGCCCCUUCCCUUACAGCAGUCACUUCCCUCCACUCCGGGCAAAGAUGAGCUAAGUGAAUGAUCGCUAUUGUUCUAAGCCGCCAAGUUACAGGCUGUUUUGUUGUGCUGCGAUGGAUAACCAGAGCACAGAAAGGCCACAGUAAACCUCGGUGGAUCAUUAUUGCUGUCUGUCUUUUGCUCACACUCCAUGUUCCCCGUUUACAGCAAAUCCAAACACAUCCCAAGUCCAACCCUUUCAAGUUCAAGCCACCGUCACCUCUGGCCUGGAGGACUUAAAGUAAACUGUUUCUACUUUGCCUUCCUGUUGUCUCUUCUCCACCCAGCCUGCGAACCAGCUCUUAGAAACAAAAGUAUGAUCAUGCCUUUCUCUGCUCUGAAGCCUCCAAUGGCUUCCUGUCACACCUGGAAUAAAAUCCAAACCCUGACUGUUGCCUACAAACACUGGUGUGCUGGUAAGUGGUAUGUCUGCUCUCAAAAAAAAAAAAAAAAGCC